AUGAUGGUGGUACCGGAGACGACCAUGCCAGGAGAAAUGGGAGGUGGUGGCGGUAACGAUGACGAUGACGACGUAUGGAAAGAGGGAGUCAGGAGAGCGAGAGGAGAAAGGGGGUCAUGGAAGUUGUGCGGGAGGGGGGAUGGAUCAAGGCAUAGUGAUUGGGUUGUGCAAUGCUCUACCCCCUCCAGCGGAAAUCUCUUUGGACGGGGCGGCGAAUACGGAGAGUCGCCGCAGAUGGCGGACCGUUUGACCCGUAUCGCGAUCGUGAGCGAGGACAAGUGCAAGCCCAAGAAGUGCCGCCAGGAGUGCAAGAAGAGAUGCCCCGUUGUCAAGACCGGAAAGCUUUGCAUUGAAGUUAGUCCAGCGGCCAAACUUGCAUUCAUUUCUGAAGAGCUGUGUAUUGGUUGUGGUAUUUGUGUUAAGAAAUGCCCAUUUGAUGCCAUUGAAAUCAUCAAUCUUCCAAAAGAUUUGGAGAAAGAUACUACCCAUUGCUAUGGACCGAAUACCUUCAAAUUGCACAGUGGGUAA
This 528-nucleotide ribosomal RNA is filed under the name Triticum aestivum (bread wheat). RNAcentral's name for it is "partial small subunit ribosomal RNA". The record is from RNAcentral. Lineage: Eukaryota; Viridiplantae; Streptophyta; Magnoliopsida; Poales; Poaceae.